GACGAACGCUGGCGGCGUGCCUAAUACAUGCAAGUAGGACGCAGUUGCGAACGUGUGAGUAACGCGUAGGUAACUACCUAUUAGUGGGGGAUAACUAUUGGAAACGCUAGCUCAUACCGCAUACUAGUAGAUGGACCUGCGUUGUAUUAGCUAGUAGGUAGGGUAAUGGCCUACCUCGGCAACGAUACAUAGCCGACCUGGGAGGGUGAUCGGCCCCACUGGGACUGGUACAAGGCCCAGACUCCUACGGGAGGCAGCAGUAGGGGAACUUCGGCAAUGGGGGGAACCCUGACCGAGCAACGCCGCGGGAGUGAAGAAGGUUUUCGGAUCGUAAAGCUCUGUUGUGAAGGAAGCGGUACUUAACCAGAAAGGGACGGCUAACUACGUGCCAGCAGCCGCGGUAAUAC
This 407-nucleotide ribosomal RNA is filed under the name uncultured bacterium. Its description in RNAcentral is "partial 16S ribosomal RNA". It matches the Rfam family "Bacterial small subunit ribosomal RNA", at positions 28 to 526 of the family's 1533-position model. The record is from RNAcentral.